Molecule: ribosomal RNA, 432 nt
Filed under: uncultured bacterium
Lineage: Bacteria
Description: partial 16S ribosomal RNA
Rfam family: Bacterial small subunit ribosomal RNA
Source: RNAcentral
ACGAACGCUGGCGGCAUGCCUAACACAUGCAAGUCGAACGAGACCUUCGGGUCUAGUGGCGCACGGGUGCGUAACGCGUGGGAACCUGCCCUUAGGUUCGGAAUAACUCCCCGAAAGGGGUGCUAAUACCGGAUAAUGUCUUCGGACCAAGGAUUUAUCGCCUUUGGAUGGGCCCGCGUUGGAUUAGCUAGUUGGUAGGGUAAAAGCCUACCAAGGCGACGAUCCAUAGCUGGUCUGAGAGGAUGAUCAGCCACACUGGGACUGAGACACGGCCCAGACUCCUACGGGAGGCAGCAGUGGGGAAUAUUGGACAAUGGGCGAAAGCCUGAUCCAGCAAUGCCGCGUGAGUGAUGAAGGCCUUAGGGUUGUAAAGCUCUUUUACCCGGGAUGAUAAUGACAGUACCGGGAGAAUAAGCUCCGGCUAACUCCGUG